CAAAGGCUUGGUCCUGACUUUAUUAUCAGCUUUAGCUAAACUUACACAUGCAAGUAUCCGCGCCCCUGUGCGAAUGCCCCAUAGUUUCCCGCCCGGAAACAAGGAGCUGGCAUCAGACUCACGCGCCGUAGUCCAUAACGCCUUGCUCAGCCACCCCCCCACGGGAAUUCAGCAGUGAUAAACAUUAAGCCAUAAGUGAAAGCUUGACUUAGUCAAAGCUAAAAGGGCCGGUAAAACUCGUGCCAGCCACCGCGGUUAUACGAGAGACCCGAGCUGAUAAUUGUCGGCGUAAAGGGUGGUUAAGAACAAUGAAAACUAAAGCCGAACCUUCUUUGAGCUGUUAUAAGCAUCAAAGAGAGAGAAGCCCUACCACGAAAGUAGCUUUAUUAUAUUUGACCCCACGAAAGCCAGGGUACAAACUGGGAUUAGAUACCCCACUAUG
Molecule: ribosomal RNA, 442 nt
Filed under: Cepola macrophthalma (red bandfish)
Lineage: Eukaryota; Metazoa; Chordata; Actinopteri; Priacanthiformes; Cepolidae (in: ray-finned fishes)
Description: partial small subunit ribosomal RNA
Rfam family: Bacterial small subunit ribosomal RNA
Source: RNAcentral